AGCUCCAAUAGCGUAUAUUAAAUCUGCUGCGGUUAAAACGCUCGUAGUUGGAUAUCUGUUCGGAAAACUCAGGUCCACCCAAGUGGUGUGUAUCUGAAUCAACCGUGACAAGAAACUCGCGAACACGCAUGCACUUCAUUGUGCGGCGAGAUCUCGAGAACGCUUACUUUGAGGAAAUGAGGGUGCUCCAAGCAGGCUAUGGCCUUGCAUACGUUAGCAUGGAAUAAUAGGACAAGACGUUGUUCCGAAGUGGUUAGUUUUCGGUCCGAUGUAGUACUAAUAGAGGUAGUUGAGGGCAUUCGUAUUUAAUUGCUAGAGGUGAAAUUCUUGGAUUUUUUAAAGACGAGCUACUGCGAACGCAUCUGCCCAGGAUGUUCUUC
Molecule: ribosomal RNA, 380 nt
Filed under: uncultured eukaryote
Lineage: Eukaryota
Description: SSU rRNA
Rfam family: Eukaryotic small subunit ribosomal RNA
Source: RNAcentral